UGAUCAUGGCUCAGAAUCAACGCUGGCGGCGCGCUUAACACAUGCAAGUCGAACGAGAAAGGGGAGCAAUCCCUGAGUAAAGUGGCGUACGGGUGAGUAACACGUGGGUAAUCUACCUCUGGGUGGGGAAUAACUCUGGGAAACCGGAGCUAAUACCGCAUAUUCUCGCGAGAGGAAAGGCGAAAGUCGCCUGGAGAGGAGCCCGCGGCCGAUUAGCUAGUUGGCAGGGUAAGAGCCUACCAAGGCAGAGAUCGGUAGCCGGCCUGAGAGGGCACACGGCCACACUGGCACUGAAACACGGGCCAGACUCCUACAGGAGGCAGCAGUGGGGAAUCUUGCACAAUGGGGGAAACCCUGAUGCAGCGACGCCGCGUGAGCGAUGAAGCCCUUCGGGGUGUAAAGCUCUUUCGGCCGGAACGAUAAUGACGGUACCGGCAGAAGAAGCUGCGGCUAACUACGUGCCAGCAGCCGCGGUAAUACGUAGGCAGCGAGCGUUGUUCGGAGUUACUGGGCGUAAAGCGUGCGUAGGCGGUUUUCCAAGUCUGGUGUGAAAUCUCCCGGCUCAACCGGGAGGGUGCGCUAGAAACUGGGAGGCUGGAGUGCGGGAGAGGUAGGCGGAAUUCCUGGUGUAGCGGUGAAAUGCGUAGAUAUCAGGAGGAACACCGGUGGUGUAGACGGCCUGCUGGACCGUGACUGAC
RNAcentral lists this ribosomal RNA (698 nucleotides) under uncultured bacterium. RNAcentral describes it as "bacterial SSU rRNA". It matches the Rfam family "Bacterial small subunit ribosomal RNA", at positions 14 to 744 of the family's 1533-position model. The record is from RNAcentral.